This 468-nucleotide ribosomal RNA is filed under the name uncultured bacterium. RNAcentral's name for it is "partial 16S ribosomal RNA". It matches the Rfam family "Bacterial small subunit ribosomal RNA", at positions 28 to 507 of the family's 1533-position model. The record is from RNAcentral.
GACGAACGCUGGCGGCGUGCUUAACACAUGCAAGUCGAACGGAAAGGCCCUGCUUUUGUGGGGUGCUCGAGUGGCGAACGGGUGAGUAACACGUGAGUAACCUGCCCUUGACUUUGGGAUAACUUCAGGAAACUGGGGCUAAUACCAGAUAGGAGCUCCUGCUGCAUGGUGGGGGUUGGAAAGUUUCGGCGGUUGGGGAUGGACUCGCGGCUUAUCAGCUUGUUGGUGGGGUAGUGGCCUACCAAGGCUUUGACGGGUAGCCGGCCUGAGAGGGUGACCGGCCACAUUGGGACUGAGAUACGGCCCAGACUCCUACGGGAGGCAGCAGUGGGGAAUAUUGCACAAUGGGCGGAAGCCUGAUGCAGCAACGCCGCGUGCGGGAUGACGGCCUUCGGGUUGUAAACCGCUUUCGCCUGUGACGAAGCGUGAGUGACGGUAAUGGGUAAAGAAGCACCGGCUAACUACGUG